This 206-nucleotide unclassified non-coding RNA is filed under the name uncultured fungus. RNAcentral describes it as "sequence contains ITS1, 5.8S rRNA gene". The record is from RNAcentral. Lineage: Eukaryota; Fungi.
CUGAGAAACGGUGCCCUCGUGGCCCGACCCUCAAACCACCGUGUACCAAACUAAACCGUUGCCUCGGCGGGCCGGGCCCUCGUGGCCCCCCUCGUCCGCCUCCCCUUCGCGGGGCGGUUGGACUCGGGCGCGCCCGCCGCAGGAACCCAACAAGACCGUUUUGUGUGACGAACGUCUGAACUUUUCUUCGCGAAUGCGAUAAAGUA